GGCUAACGCCUUACCCUCGGAACGUCGGGCACGUACCUGCCCGGAUAAGGAAGAAAUA
RNAcentral lists this non-coding RNA (58 nucleotides) under unclassified sequences. RNAcentral describes it as "msiK RNA". It matches the Rfam family "msiK RNA". The record is from RNAcentral.